GACGAACGCUGGCGGCGUGCUUAACACAUGCAAGUCGAACGGAAAGGCCCUGCUUUUGUGGGGUGCUCGAGUGGCGAACGGGUGAGUAACACGUGAGUAACCUGCCCUUGACUUUGGGAUAACUUCAGGAAACUGGGGCUAAUACCGGAUAGGAGCUCCUGCUGCAUGGUGGGGGUGGGAAAGUUUCGGCGGUUGGGGAUGGACUCGCGGCUUAUCAGCUUGUUGGUGGGGUAGUGGCUUACCAAGGCUUUGACGGGUAGCCGGCCUGAGAGGGUGAACGGCGACAUUGGGACUGAGAUGCGGCCCAGACUCCUACGGGAGGCAGCAGUGGGGAAUCUUGCACAAUGGGCGGACGCCUGAUGCAGCAACGCCGCGUGCGGGAUGACGGCCUUCGGGUUGUAAACCGCUUUAGCCUGUGACGAAGCGUGAGUGACGGUAAUGGGUAAAGAAGCACCGGCUAACUACGUG
Molecule: ribosomal RNA, 468 nt
Filed under: uncultured bacterium
Lineage: Bacteria
Description: partial 16S ribosomal RNA
Rfam family: Bacterial small subunit ribosomal RNA
Source: RNAcentral